UGCAUAAUUGAAAGUUUGGGGUGAAAUCAACAGGAUCUAUAAGAAAAUUAAAGAAUUUUGGGGUCAAAUUGCAGAUAUCUGAAGCUUAAAGGACCAUAUGUGUAAAAAUAAGGAACUUGAACAUUGUUGCUCGACCUUUCCCUAUGCAACUGAAUUGACGACGAAUACGGCAGCCAAAACGAUCUUGAGCUCGAAGCGACGGUUGAAUGAACUGACGGUUGCGAGGCUAAAUCCGGUGUGAAGAAGCAUACACAUGUGAGAGUAGAGAACGGAGACAGAGGAGCCGACUUGGACGGUGCUUGAUGGUGGCUUGGAGCUUUGAUUGGGGCUGCUUCACAGCAGUGAAUAGGAUGACGACCUGAGUUGAAAACAAUGGGGGAGCACAAGAAGACACGAUGGGGGAGCACGAGCAGACGACGACAAUGUCAGUAAUAGGCUUGUGGUGGUGCUUGUGCCACUUAGAUGAUUAAUUGGCUUUGUAAGAUGACGAGGACGAACGGUGGUCCAUGCUGUGGUGAUCUGAUUGUGGUUCGCCAUGAGAUUUUGGACAUUGGGGUUGGGGUGGUGGUGAGAUUUGAUCGGGCGAACGGAGGUGAGAUUUGAUUGGACGAACGGUGGCGCUUGCGGUGGUGAUAUUGAU
This 640-nucleotide long non-coding RNA is filed under the name Brassica napus (rape). RNAcentral's name for it is "long non-coding RNA (BNAP_LNC011940)". The record is from RNAcentral. Lineage: Eukaryota; Viridiplantae; Streptophyta; Magnoliopsida; Brassicales; Brassicaceae.